ACGUUAGCGGCGGACGGGUGAGUAACACGUGGGUAACCUACCUAUAAGACUGGGAUAACUUCGGGAAACCGGAGCUAAUACCGGAUAAUAUUUCGAACCGCAUGGUUCGAUAGUGAAAGGUGGUUUUGCUAUCACUUAUAGAUGGACCCGCGCCGUAUUAGCUAGUUGGUAAGGUAACGGCUUACCAAGGCGACGAUACGUAGCCGACCUGAGAGGGUGAUCGGCCACACUGGAACUGAGACACGGUCCAGACUCCGUACGGGAGGCAGCAGCC
RNAcentral lists this ribosomal RNA (274 nucleotides) under uncultured Staphylococcus sp. RNAcentral describes it as "partial 16S ribosomal RNA". It matches the Rfam family "Bacterial small subunit ribosomal RNA", at positions 89 to 355 of the family's 1533-position model. Lineage: Bacteria; Bacillati; Bacillota; Bacilli; Caryophanales; Staphylococcaceae. The record is from RNAcentral.